CCACGCGUUGUCUGUGUGGUUUACAAGUUUCUUGGCGAUAUGGGGGAAAAGUUCCUCACAUACCAACGGAAAAUGGGCGUCAUAUACAUGCAGUCACACAGGGGUUCCAAGACCCACCGGCGUAAAAUCAAGUCAAAGGCUGCUGUCUCAUAAUAUGGCGAAGACGAGUCACCUGAAGGCCUAACUCGCCAUAGAAGACUGAAAGAAUGUAAGAUUAACUUCUUUGUGACCAAUAUGACUUGCUCAUUGAUACAUUUGCUAUGUCAAUAUGAGGUGCAUGGCAAAGUAUUUAAUUUAUUUGUCUCGCUUCUAGGAGCUGUAGAAACAACAGGGUGUUCUUUUUCAGGGUAUUCUU
Molecule: long non-coding RNA, 355 nt
Organism: Engraulis encrasicolus (European anchovy)
Lineage: Eukaryota; Metazoa; Chordata; Actinopteri; Clupeiformes; Engraulidae
Exons: 3
Source: RefSeq, a predicted model, not a curated record